GUUAGGAAGCCUGAGGAAAGGGCCAUCUUGAUGUGAUGGAUCACGUGCACCAACCACUCCUAACU
Molecule: transfer RNA, 65 nt
Filed under: Coccinella transversoguttata
Lineage: Eukaryota; Metazoa; Arthropoda; Insecta; Coleoptera; Coccinellidae
Description: tRNA-Ile
Source: RNAcentral